Long non-coding RNA from Lagenorhynchus albirostris (white-beaked dolphin), 2679 nucleotides. RefSeq lists it as uncharacterized. The record is from RefSeq and is a predicted model, not a curated record. The transcript has 3 exons. NCBI's taxonomy places the organism in Eukaryota, Metazoa, Chordata, Mammalia, Artiodactyla, Delphinidae.
GGGGCCGAGCAGGGUUGUACCCUCUCGCGGGCCGCUCUCGCACCGGAAUUUCCGAAUUGAAGUAGUGAGGGCUGCCUGGCGGCAGCGGCCACAAAACAACCCGGAGACUGCUCCCGGAGCUAGGGUUUGCUGAUCCCGGCUUAGACUGGGAGCAACAUCAGCAACCUCGGUGCUCAUUCACUGCUGUAUCCCUGACACCUAGGAUGGAAUCCGGCACAUAGUGGAGAAACUGAGGCUCGAGUCCAGGUCAUCCUGAUUCCUAAAUCCCCGCUCCUCGUCCCUCUGCCACUCAGUUUACCAUUUCGGCUCCCACUUACCUGGGCGUCGCGGAGAAAACGUCUGGGUGCAGCUCGGUCAGACCCAAGCGCUCCUGCUCGUAGCCCCGCAGGGACUCGACCCAGGCCUGCACAGGACGCCGGUGCGCGAGUACCGGGAGCUCGCACCUGCGCAGCACGGGCACCCGAUGACCUGGAGCGAUUGGGAGGUCAAGGGUCAGGAGCAAGGGUCAGAGUUUCCGGUUGCCUCCCCUCCUAGGGCAACCCCAGCAACCUCACCCGCGCUCGCCACCGGUUCUGGUUUCUCCGCCGGCUGCACUGCCUCUUCUGCCAGCGCCUUUAGGCCCUGUAAACGGUAAGCAAGACUGAGAGACGAUCCCCGGACCCUCCAACCUUUGUCCUCCGACCCCGCCCUCAGUCCCCGGCCUCACCCGGCAGCCCUUGGGCCGAAGCCAGGCCCGCGCCCCUGCCCGGACUAGCUGCAGCAUUGUAGCGCAGCUCCCCACGCUUAGAGAGGUCAAGGCUUCCUCUGCUGGACUCUCUCGACGCCUCGCGAUGACGUCACGCCCGCGACGCCGCCGGUCGGGUUUGUAUUCGGUGUUAGAAAGGUGGGCGAGCAAGAGCAAAGACGGCAGGGUCCGCUAACGCCUGUCCCAACCUCCGCCCCAAGACUAACCCCAGACGCUAAUUUUCACUGCUGGCCUAAAGAACCCUCUGCAACACCUGGGAGCGCGACCCGACAGCAAGAAAUCCCGCCCCCCUCUUCGGUCCCGCCCCCAAAGAGCCGGUGCGGUAAUCCGGCCAAUAAAACCUCCCUGCUCAAAGGGCACGCUCCUCGUUCAGCCAAUGAGCUCGUUCAGUCUGGAAAAGUGGCUGGGCGGUGCUAGGGCGGGCACCUAAGGGAAUAUGGCCAGUAACUGUUAGGCUUUUUUUUUUUUUUUUUUUUUUUUUUUUUUUUUUUUUUGUCGGCCACGUCCCCAGGGCCCGCCCGCUUUGGGCCUCCAAGACCGUAGCGGUUGGUUUCUCCAGAAACGUGGUUUUGUUUGCUUGUUUAAAUGCAGGGCGUUAUCUCUCACAGAAAGUCCUCAGGGUAGGGCCUGGCGGAUCGUGCUUCUCCUCUUAGAUUCCCCCAGGGCACGUCCCCCUCAAAUGCGUCAGGGUAGGAGAUGUGUCUCCCCCCAUCUCCUAGGCUAAGGUCCUGUCGCAUCUCAGACUGCCAGGACUCUCCGAGAGCAAACUGGGGAGUCCACAGAUCCUGCGUUGCCUCCCCCGUCCACUCUCACCAACAGAAAUCCAAACGCUCAUUUUGUAGGUUCUUUGCCACGUUCCCCGUCAGGCCUCCAGGCGGCGCCACGAGCCCAUAGCAGCCUGCCCUGGCGGGCCAGACCUGAGCACUUGAUUACCAGUGAGAAAUGGACCGAGUUUAGCCGCCAAGAACGGUGGUCUGGGAGCCAACCUCAGUGUCCUCAUCUGGAAAAUGGGGAGGUGUGAGAUUCGAUGAAAUGAUGGAGGCAAAGCAUGCGUAGCUUUAUUAUUAUUAUUAUUACUAUUAUUUUGAAGGUGAGUUUUAUCAUCAAAGCAAGACAAGAGCCAAGGUAGGGGACUUCCCUGGUGGUCCAGUGGUUAGGAAUCCGCCUUCCAAUGCAGGGGACGGGAGUUCGAUCCCUGGUGGGGGGAACUAAGAUCCCACAUGCUGCGGUGCAAGUAAGCCCGGGCGCUGCAACUGGAAAGAAGACUGCAUGCUGCAACAAAGAGCCUGCGUGCCACAACUAAGACCCAAUGCAGCCAAAUAAAAAUAAAUAAUAAAAGGUCAAAAAGGAAAAAAAAAAAGCCAAGGUAGGGAUGGGGGUGGACCGUGGAAGACUUGAAGGCUUUUGUUUUGUGUUUUUGCAUCUGAUAUGUAACAUGGAUAUUUUUGUGAAGUAUUAAUGAAAACUUAUAAUGUGUUUCAUUGUGCCUUCUAUCCUUGCAAGAACUGUGGAUAUGUGUUUCAAACUCCACACCCUUUGCAAUUUUAAAAGGUCUUUUAAUUUUGUACAAUUUUGUUUAUUCAUUUUAUGUUUGCAUAAGUAAUUCACACACCUCGUAAAGAAAAGUCCAAAAACUACAAAAAGAAAGCUAGAGUGAAAAGUCUGUCUCCACCCUCUGUUCCCUGCCCUGCCCCCACCCACCUCUUUCCCUUCCCAGAAGCCACCACCACAACCAGCUGUGUGUCUUCUCCCAGAACCAGUUUAUUAUUUUACAGACAGAUUUACAUGUCUGUCCUGUGCAAGAGAAUUUAGAUUUUAUGUGGUGAAGGACGGAACAGCACUUAGCUGCUUAAUGAUUUAUUGGGCACCUACUCUGUACUGCUGGGGUAAAUCCAGCUGACACCCUUGAGAUACUCACAGCCCAGUGCAGAAGG